RNAcentral lists this ribosomal RNA (912 nucleotides) under uncultured bacterium. RNAcentral's name for it is "bacterial SSU rRNA". It matches the Rfam family "Bacterial small subunit ribosomal RNA", at positions 32 to 915 of the family's 1533-position model. The record is from RNAcentral.
AACGUUGGCGGCGUGGAUUAGGCAUGCAAGUCGUACGCGAACGUCACUUCGGGUGGGUAGUAAGUGGCGAACGGGUGAGUAACACGUGGGAAACCUGCCCUUUGGUUGGGGAUAACACUCCUAACGGGGUGGUAAUACCGAAUAAUACGGCUCAAGUCGCAUGACUUGGCCGUCAAAGUCGGCCUCUUCAUGAAAGCUGGCGCCGGAGGAUGGUCCCGCGUCCCAUUAGCUUGUUGGUGAGGUAACGGCCCACCAAGGCUCCGAUGGGUAGCUGGUCUGAGAGGAUGGUCAGCCACACUGGGACUGAGAUACGGCCCAGACUCCUACGGGAGGCAGCAGUCGAGAGGCUUCGUCAAUGGGGGAAACCCUGAACGAGCGACGCCGCGUGGGCGAUGAAGGUCGUAAGAUUGUAAAGCCCUGUCAGAGGGGAAGAAAAUCCGGGGUGCUAAUACCACCUCGGCUUGACGUUACCCUCAGAGGAAGCUCCGGCUAACUCCGUGCCAGCAGCCGCGGUAAUACGGGGGGAGCAAACGUUGUUCGGAAUUACUGGGCGUAAAGGGCGUGCAGGCGGCCUGGUCAGUGAAAUGUGAAAUCCCCUGGCUCAACCAGGGAACUGCAUCUCAUACUGCCAGGCUUGAGGACGGGAGAGGAGACGGGAAUUCCCGGUGUAGCGGUGAAAUGCACUGAUAUCGGGAGGAACACCAGUGGCGAAGGCGCGUCUCUGGCCCGAUCCUGACGCUCAGGCGCGAAAGCUGGGGGAGCAAACAGGAGUUAGAUACCCUGGUAGUCCCCGCCGUAUAACGGUGAACACUAGGUGUGGGGGGCACGACCCCUUCCGUGCCGUAGCUAACGCAUUAAGUGUUCCGCCUGGGGAGUACGACCGCAAGGUUGAAACUCAAGAGGAAGUUGACG